CACGUCAGAGGGUGGCGACAGCCCCAUGCCAAAGCAGCUGGGUGCUGUGUGGAGAGGAUAUGGAAGGAAUUACACGUCCACACUGAUCUUCUGGGCCACAGCCGAUUCCAGGAACAGCUAGCAGGACCCUCCGCAGGAUCUCUACAAUAAGCAUUUAUAUUUUUACAACCACAAGUUUUUAUUAUAUAUUUAACUUUAGGGUUGGAAAGAGCUUUCUGAGACUCAAUAAUCUACCCAUCACUGCCAUUGUCUGGAUUAACACUUCCUACUUAGGAAAGUUCCCUCCAUGUUAUCAGUCAUACUCAAGUGAUUUGGAUCAUGUGAGUGACAUGAAAUGCCCUGCAGCCCACUCCUUGAACUCAUGACUAUCUGCUCCAGUGAAAAGGGAGGAGGACGCUGUUUUGUAGGAUUACUUCUGCAAUGUCUCCUACCCACAAAGGUCUCUCCUCGGCGGACUCUGCAGCUAAAAGAAGUAUGCGAGUCCUGUCCGGGAGGGGCCUGGAAUGCAGCCGGGAAGAAGUCAGAUCCCCGUGGAAAUGGGAUA
This is a long non-coding RNA of Mirounga angustirostris (Northern elephant seal), 544 nucleotides long. RefSeq lists it as uncharacterized. The record is from RefSeq and is a predicted model, not a curated record. Lineage: Eukaryota; Metazoa; Chordata; Mammalia; Carnivora; Phocidae. The transcript is spliced from 4 exons.